UGCUCAAACAUAGCCCAGACCGGGUAAUGACCCAUUUUUCAAUACAUAUAAUCCGGGAUGGCGGAAUCAUCCAAACUUUUCUUGAAAGCAGCAAGCUUCGAAUACUGCCCCACCCUACUCCCAAAAUUUUCAAAACCCUCAGAAUUUUCAAACCCCACAAAAUAUUCAUCCCUAUCGUCCCUCGACUCAAUUUCAACACACUCCUCCUC
This 209-nucleotide long non-coding RNA is filed under the name Phoenix dactylifera (date palm). RNAcentral describes it as "long non-coding RNA (PDAC_LNC017101)". The record is from RNAcentral. Lineage: Eukaryota; Viridiplantae; Streptophyta; Magnoliopsida; Arecales; Arecaceae.